AUUGAACGCUGGCGGCAGGCCUAACACAUGCAAGUCGGACGGUAGCACAGAGGAGCUUGCUCCUUGGGUGACGAGUGGCGGACGGGUGAGUAAUGUCUGGGGAUCUGCCCGAUAGAGGGGGAUAACCACUGGAAACGGUGGCUAAUACCGCAUAACGUCGCAAGACCAAAGAGGGGGACCUUCGGGCCUCUCACUAUCGGAUGAACCCAGAUGGGAUUAGCUAGUAGGCGGGGUAAUGGCCCACCUAGGCGACGAUCCCUAGCUGGUCUGAGAGGAUGACCAGCCACACUGGAACUGAGACACGGUCCAGACUCCUACGGGAGGCAGCAGUGGGGAAUAUUGCACAAUGGGCGCAAGCCUGAUGCAGCCAUGCCGCGUGUAUGAAGAAGGCCUUCGGGUUGUAAAGUACUUUCAGCGGGGAGGAAGGCGAUGCGGUUAAUAACCGCGUCGAUUGACGUUACCCGCAGAAGAAGCACCGGCUAACUCCGUGCCAGCAGCCGCGGUAAUACGGAGGGUGCAAGCGUUAAUCGGAAUUACUGGGCGUAAAGCGCACGCAGGCGGUCUGUUAAGUCAGAUGUGAAGUCCCCGGGCUUAACCUGGGAACUGCAUUUGAAACUGGCAGGCUUGAGUCUUGUAGAGGGGGGUAGAAUUCCAGGU
Molecule: ribosomal RNA, 657 nt
Filed under: uncultured Pantoea sp.
Lineage: Bacteria; Pseudomonadati; Pseudomonadota; Gammaproteobacteria; Enterobacterales; Erwiniaceae
Description: bacterial SSU rRNA
Rfam family: Bacterial small subunit ribosomal RNA
Source: RNAcentral